RNAcentral lists this unclassified non-coding RNA (660 nucleotides) under Hevea brasiliensis (rubber tree). The record is from RNAcentral. Lineage: Eukaryota; Viridiplantae; Streptophyta; Magnoliopsida; Malpighiales; Euphorbiaceae.
GAUUGGCCCAUUCAACAAAUUGACAUUUCCAAUGCUUUUAUGCAUAUGGUGAUUUGCAUGAUGAUGCUUAUAUGGAGAAACCUCUAGGGUUCAUUGAUCCAGACCGAAGCACUCAUGUGUGUAAACUCAAGCGAUCCUUGUAUGGCCUUAAGCAGGCACUGUGUCAAUGGUACUCGAAACUCAAGCAUGCCUUACUUGCUCUACUUUUCAAAACUAGCAACUUUGACUCCUCUUUGUUCAUUUAUAAUGAUGGUGAUGAAAAAAACUUAUUGCUUAGUUUAUGUAAAUGAUACAACAAUACAGCCUUUAUUCAAUAAACUAUUCAAUCUCUCAAGCAAGAUUUCAUGAUUCGAGAGUUAGGGCCAUUGGAUUAUUUCCUUGGAAUCAAAACUACACAGACCUCCACCGGUUUAUUCUUGACCCAGGCUAAAUAUAUUAAUGAUUUAUUAUGUAAGGUACAAAUGGAUCAAUGCAAGUGCAUCUCAACUCCUGUGUGUACCAAAACUAAACUCAGUGUGCGUUCUAGUUCUCCAUUCUCUAAUCCAACCCUGUAUAGAAGUAUAGUUGGUGGGUUGCAAUAUCUUAUUAUUACUAGACCAUAUAUUUGCUUUGUAAUCAAUCGUGUUUCUUAAUUUAUGCAUGAUCCAAAGGACAUUCAUU